UACGUAGGAUGCGAGCGUUGUUCGGAAUUACUGGGCGUAAAGAGUACGUAGGCGGUAAGAUAAGUCUGUUAUAAAAAUCAGGAGCUUAACUUCUGAGUUGUAAUGGAAACUAUGUUACUAGAGGGCAAUAGAGGAAGUCGGAAUUCUCAGUGUAGCGGUGAAAUGCGUAGAUAUUGGGAAGAACACCAGUGGCGAAAGCGGACUUCUGGGUUGUUACUGACGCUGAGGUACGAAAGCGUGGGGAGCAAACGGG
This 253-nucleotide ribosomal RNA is filed under the name uncultured bacterium. Its description in RNAcentral is "partial 16S ribosomal RNA". It matches the Rfam family "Bacterial small subunit ribosomal RNA", at positions 524 to 776 of the family's 1533-position model. The record is from RNAcentral.